AAGGAAAGAACAAAAAUUACUUCGACUUCGAUAAUGAAAAGAACACAAAACUGAUCUCCAAAUCUCCAGAAAAUUUCUAACCAACAAAACUGAUAAAUUUUUCAACAAAUCCUUUCUUGUGAUAUGGUGGAUGUAGGUGUGCUUUGUUUCGUCUUGGUUUUGCUGGAGCAAGCGACGACUUCUUCUACCUCUGAUCGGAGCUUCUAGAUAUGAGCUUCUCGUAGGCGCUCCGGCUUCUCUCCUCUCUGCAAAUCGACGGGCUGUGGUGGCCAAUACUCUCUCUUAAAAGUUGUUUGGUCUGGUGGCAUGUGAAGUGAAGGGAAAUAGUUCGCUUAUUGUGAGGUCGAUUUCAGAUCUGGAGAUCCUUGUUCAUGGCUGGAGACUAUGGUUUGCCUUUUUCUUCUGUGGUUUUCAUGUUGUACGUAUGGAGUGAUCUCAACACUGCCUCAUCCUCUAGCCUGUGUUUCGCUGUUGCUUGGGUGUGAGCUUUCCAACUCUGCUUCUCUAGUUAGUUGAAGUUUCGCUUAGGAACGGAUGUUCUUCUUAGGUAAGCUCUCGGGGCUUCCUUCUCUUGCCGUCGGUGUCCUCCCGGCUUUGUGUUCUCCAUAGUCUUAUUUAGGCUCUCAAUCCGUGGUUGCCAGUUAGUGCUUGGGAGUUUGAGGUUUUGUUGGGGUGGUUCUUUGGUGCUCUGUGGGUUGAAGUUCUCUGUUUUAAUGAUCCUUCCAGUUGUUGCUGUUGUGCUAUUUUGACCUUGCUGCUUCGCUAGAUUAGUCUGUUUCUUGGCUUGAAGGUUAAGCAAGUGGUGGUUUUAUCUUUGCUCGUUGAUGCAUGGAUCAUUGUCUUAGGUUCUUUGAUUUAUUGAUUUCUUUUUGACUCUGUCUUUGUGUCUCUUAGAGUUGUUUGGUUAUCUAGACUGAGCUUGCUUGUUAUGCUCUGUUUUUCAUGUCUUUCUAGUCUCCCAUUUGUGGGCUUUUAGACUCAGGGGAUGAGUUUCUUCUAUCCUCCUGCUUAGGGGUGUUCAAUCCGGAUAUCGGUUCGGUUUCGGUUCGGUUUUUUUCAGUUUUCGGUAUUUCGGUUAGUAAAAUAUGACUACCAUUCAAAAUCCAUAUUUACUUCGGUACGGUUCGGAUUAUAUACCGUCGGUUUUCGGUUUAUUCGGUUUUAUACCAAAAAACAUAAUUAUUUUGUUUGAGAUCAUAUUAUAUGAAUUUUAGAGUCAUAUUCUCAACACAAUCAUUUAUUAAAAAUAUAUUACAUGUUCAAAUAAAUGAACAAAAAAGUAAAAAUGCUUCUACCAUCAAAUAAAAUAAUCAAUUCGAUAACUAAAAUCAAAAUUUGAAAUUUUGAAAAUAAAAAUAUGAAACAAAAUAGAAACAUGAAAGAAAAGUUUUUUCACUCUUCUAUAUUUAGUGUUCAUUAAAGUCAUGCUUUUUUAAUUGAAAAUUUUCCAUUAAUUAUUGUCCCUCAAAUUUAUAAUCUUCAUAUUAAUUUAGUAAAGACUAAAAUAAAGUAAAAAUAUCAAAAAAGACUUAGAAAAUAAAAUGUCUGAAUUGCGAUGUAUUGUUAUUUAGUUAUAUUUCAAAUGUUUUACAAAUUAAGGUUUUUUAUUACUAUAAAAUUAUGGUAAUAGUUAUUAACACAAAUUUACAUGUAUUGUUAUAAAAUAGAUACAUAUUUACAUGUUUCUACUUUUAAUCGGUUUUGUUCGGUUUAUUCGGUUUAAUCGGUUAUAUACCAAACCAUAUCCAAAUUCUACGGUUUUUAUAAAAUUAUAUCCAUUCGGUUUAUAUGGUAUAUACCAAAACCAAACCAUAUUGUCUAUUUCGGUUCUGUUCGGUUCGGUACGGUUCGGUUUUACAUAUUGAACAGCCCUACUCCUGCUGUAUGUCUCUCGAUCUUGUAUUCCUCAUUGAUAUGGUAACGAAAAUUAAUUUUCAGUGUGAAAAAAAAAUUGAUAAUUAAUCAAGUAUUGUUUAUUUAUUCAAAUGGUUGUUAAGUAAAUUUUAAGAUGUUGAUAUUUUGUGUCAUGAAAUUUUUCUGUUUAUGUUUAGGUCAACAUGCAAAAUAAACGGUUUAAAAUGUGGUGGAGAUAUAUGACACCUAUCUAUUUACCCACUUGCUUUUGAACCUAUCAUACGUCUAACCCAAAGGAAUCUCUUAUCUUCUCAAGUAGCCGGUAGCAGGACUACCCUAAUAGGCUUGUCAGAUCUUGUCGAGGCCAUAAGAGUUAUUUUACGAUGAUGAAUUUUCAUGUUCGCAAAUUAAUAAAAAUAAAUGCACACUUGUGCAAUUUCCUUUCUCAAUUUGUAUAUUGAGCUAAUUGACCCUAA
Molecule: long non-coding RNA, 2330 nt
Filed under: Brassica rapa (field mustard)
Lineage: Eukaryota; Viridiplantae; Streptophyta; Magnoliopsida; Brassicales; Brassicaceae
Description: long non-coding RNA (BRAP_LNC004093)
Source: RNAcentral